CUGAGUAACGUGGUCUUUCAGACCCGCUACCCGCCCUAUGUCAUAUGUUGGACGAGGUCGUCUUUAGGGGCGGCCUCCGACCCCACUUCCCGGGAGGCGUUGCGCCCCGUCAGGUCUAGGCCUCGAUGGGGAUGGGACCGCCCGGGGUCUUUUCAAAACCCUUUGUGAGAAAUCUGAAGUCUGAAGCGAAAGCUUAAAACAAAUUGAAGCA
RNAcentral lists this unclassified non-coding RNA (211 nucleotides) under uncultured Ochroconis. RNAcentral's name for it is "sequence contains ITS1". Lineage: Eukaryota; Fungi; Ascomycota. The record is from RNAcentral.